GUAGGUGGCAAGCGUUGUCCGGAAUUAUUGGGCGUAAAGCGCGCGCAGGCGGUUCUUUAAGUCUGAUGUGAAAGCCCACGGCUCAACCGUGGAGGGUCAUUGGAAACUGGAGAACUUGAGUACAGAAGAGGAAAGCGGAAUUCCACGUGUAGCGGUGAAAUGCGUAGAGAUGUGGAGGAACACCAGUGGCGAAGGCGGCUUUCUGGUCCGUAACUGACGCUGAGGCGCGAAAGCGUGGGGAGCAAACAGGGAUUAGAUACCCUGGUAGUCCACGCCGUAAACGAUGAGUGCUAAGUGUUAGGGGGUUUCCGCCCCCUUAGUGCUGCAGCUAACGCAUUAAGCACUCCGCCUGGGGAGUACGGCCGCAAGGCUG
RNAcentral lists this ribosomal RNA (373 nucleotides) under uncultured organism. Its description in RNAcentral is "partial 16S ribosomal RNA". It matches the Rfam family "Bacterial small subunit ribosomal RNA", at positions 527 to 896 of the family's 1533-position model. The record is from RNAcentral.